CCGAGUAAUCCUGCUUGCAGGAACUCCCACCCUUGUCUAUUUGACUGUUGCUUCGGCGAGACGCUGGAAACAGCCACUUGGGAUGUCCGAUUCCGACGUCCCGGUGCGGGCUCGCCGAAGAUCACAUACUCUUGAGAUUAUGUAUGGUCAGAGCAUCAAGCAAUAUAUCA
This 170-nucleotide unclassified non-coding RNA is filed under the name uncultured Ascomycota. Its description in RNAcentral is "sequence contains ITS1". Lineage: Eukaryota; Fungi; Ascomycota. The record is from RNAcentral.